AGUGAACGCUGGCGGUAGGCCUAACACAUGCAAGUCGAACGGCAGCACAGUAAGAGCUUGCUCUUACGGGUGACGAGUGGCGGACGGGUGAGGAAUACAUCGGAAUCUACUUUUUCGUGGGGGAUAACGUAGGGAAACUUACGCUAAUACCGCAUACGACCUACGGGUGAAAGCAGUGGAUCUUCGGACCUUGCGCGAUUGAAUGAGCCGAUGUCGGAUUAGCUAGUUGGCGGGGUAAAGGCCCACCAAGGCGACGAUCCGUAGCUGGUCUGAGAGGAUGGUCAGCCACAUUGGAGCUUAGACACGGUCCAGACUCCUAAGAGAGGCAGCAGUGGGGAAUAUUAGACAAUGGGCGGAAGCCUGAUCCAGCCAUACCGAGUGGGUGAAGAAGGCCUUCGGGUUGUAAAGCCCUUUUGUUGGGAAAGAAAAGCAGCAGGUUAAUACCCCGCUGUUCUGACGGUACCCAAAGAAUAAGCACCGGCUAACUUCGUG
Molecule: ribosomal RNA, 492 nt
Filed under: uncultured bacterium
Lineage: Bacteria
Description: partial 16S ribosomal RNA
Rfam family: Bacterial small subunit ribosomal RNA
Source: RNAcentral